Molecule: long non-coding RNA, 226 nt
Filed under: Mytilus galloprovincialis (Mediterranean mussel)
Lineage: Eukaryota; Metazoa; Mollusca; Bivalvia; Mytilida; Mytilidae
Source: RNAcentral
UGAAAAUUUAUAUCCUUGGUUUAUAUCAGCAAUGUCUUUGACAAUUUCGAAAAUAAGUUCUGUCAAAUACUUUUAAUGAGUUAUGACCCUUUGAAAUAUAAAUUUUACUGGAAAUCACAUUGCAAUUGCUCUGAAGCCUUCAAUUCCCCGUAGAUAUUAAUAAAAGGUCUUAUAAAACAAAAACAAGUGCUUUUGGUGUAAAGAUUGCAUGAAAUGCAUUCAAAAC